Molecule: ribosomal RNA, 208 nt
Filed under: uncultured bacterium
Lineage: Bacteria
Description: partial 16S ribosomal RNA
Rfam family: Bacterial small subunit ribosomal RNA
Source: RNAcentral
UCGGAUUGUAGUCUGCAACCCGACUACAUGAAGCUGGAAUCGCUAGUAAUCGCGGAUCAGAAUGCCGCGGUGAAUACGUUCCCGGGUCUUGUACACACCGCCCGUCACACCAUGGGAGUUGUCAACGCCCGAAGCCGGUGGCCGAACCGGAAGGAGGGAGCCGUCGAAGGCGGGGACAAUAACUGGGGUGAAGUCGUAACAAGGUAAC